This 467-nucleotide ribosomal RNA is filed under the name uncultured bacterium. RNAcentral's name for it is "partial 16S ribosomal RNA". It matches the Rfam family "Bacterial small subunit ribosomal RNA", at positions 28 to 507 of the family's 1533-position model. The record is from RNAcentral.
GACGAACGCUGGCGGCGUGCUUAACACAUGCAAGUCGAACGGAAAGGCCCUGCUUUUGUGGGGUGCUCGAGUGGCGAACGGGUGAGUAACACGUGAGUAACCUGCCCUUGUCUUUGGUAUAACUUCAGGAAACUGGGGCUAAUACCGGAUAGGAGCUCCUGCUGCAUGGUGGGGGUUGGAAAGUUUCGGCGGUUGGGGUUGGACGCGCGGCUUAUCAGCUUGUUGGUGGGGUAGUGUCUUACCAAGGAUUGGACGGUUAGCCGCCCUGGAAGGGAGACCGGCCCCAUGGGCCUAGAGAAAGGACCAGACUCGAACGGGAGGCAGCAGUGGGGAAUAUUGCACAAUGAGCGGAAGCCUGAUGAGGCACCGCCGCGUGCGGGAUGACGGCCUUCGGGUUGUGAACCGCUUUCGCCUGUGACGAAGCGUGAGUGACGGUAAUGGGUAAAGAAGCACCGGCUAACUACGUG